This 435-nucleotide ribosomal RNA is filed under the name Triticum aestivum (bread wheat). RNAcentral describes it as "partial small subunit ribosomal RNA". The record is from RNAcentral. Lineage: Eukaryota; Viridiplantae; Streptophyta; Magnoliopsida; Poales; Poaceae.
AUGCUGUUGCCCAUGGCACUAAAGAAUAUUUAUUAUAUACUUUUUCUUCAUCGCCUGCCUUUUGUGCUGGCCAUGGCAUUGCAUUCUCUCUGCAGGCUCUCGAGUGUCGUGGAGAUGUCUGCUCCCUCCUUGUCACCGACUCACCGUCAAGAAUGGAGCACGAAAAACAUGCCUGCAAGGAAAAGCUUCAGGAGAUGCGUACCAAAAUUUUGCACCGCAAACUGUGCAACAUUUCCCUACCAGAUUUUCGACCUGUCUAUUAUCUUUGUUCACAUGUCCUUGCAGAUUGAGAUGACAAGACCACCCCACAUCAGACAAACCUUCAUGACAAGGAUGUCUACAAAGUCGCAACUUUUGCAGGAUGGCAAGACACUGCAUUUCCUUCUCCGGUUCUCCACCACCCAGAGGAAUCCAACAGGUACGGGCAGCACAUAG